AUACUUACCUGGCAGGGGAGACACCAUAAUCAGGCAGGUGGUUUUUCCAAGGUGAGGCUCAUCCGUUGCACUCCGGCUGUGCUGACAUCUGCUACUUCCCCAAAUGCAGGAAACUCAACUGCAUAAUCUGUGGCAGUGGGUGACUGCGUUCAGCAGGGUUGGGCUCAG
Molecule: small nuclear RNA, 168 nt
Organism: Pezoporus flaviventris
Lineage: Eukaryota; Metazoa; Chordata; Aves; Psittaciformes; Psittacidae
Product: U1 spliceosomal RNA
Exons: 1
Source: RefSeq, a predicted model, not a curated record